GAGGGCGGGACAAUAAUCCGCUCUCCUACGCGGUCAAAGUCUUGGGAGGAUGCGAUCUAGGCGCGAUUUUCCGCAGCCGCCUUAAUACGGAAACAGAUCGGACGCGUUCAAAUUGCAAGGCUUCGGCCUUGCAUUUUUU
Molecule: small RNA, 139 nt
Filed under: Neoaquamicrobium sediminum
Lineage: Bacteria; Pseudomonadati; Pseudomonadota; Alphaproteobacteria; Hyphomicrobiales; Phyllobacteriaceae
Description: Alphaproteobacterial sRNA ar9
Rfam family: Alphaproteobacterial sRNA ar9
Source: RNAcentral